AGACCAAUAUCUUUGCCAUUAUUUUACCAAAAAUUGGAGCUUAAAGUAGGAGUUGAUAGUGUAGGCAUUUAUUUUUUAUUUAUGUAGCUAGAACUCUCAGUCUAGUGAUUAGGACAGAGUGUGUCUUAACAAUUGAAUUGAACUCUUUAGUCAAUUGUAUCGCAUGUUAGUUUUAUCUUGCACAAUUUCCUUCUGAAAAGAAAAUGAAUCAACCAUAUCACUCUCAAAUGAGUUGAAGCUUAACCAUAUGAAUCCUCCUAAUCCUUGCAACUCUAUUUACGUCCAUUCUAUUUUUAAAAAAGGAAAUACAAUUAAACAAUUUAAAUAUCCGUAUAUUAUUUAGGUACUGUUAAUUGUAAUGUCAAAGUCAUGAUGGUUGAGUUGUGAUUUAUUAAAAAAAAAAAAAAAAAAAAAAAAAAAAAAAAAAAAAACUGAUCAAGCCACUAUCAUCCUGCAUAGGCUAAGCUUGACAUAUUAUAGGAGGAUAUGACAGGUGGAUUCUUAAUCAUAUACACUCAAUUGGCGUAACAACUUAACAACCAAAAUCACAAUGUCAUUAUCAAAAGUAUCUGACUUUUGCUUAGACAUGGGAAAGUAUUUAAACAUAUAAUAUAUGUCCAAUUGAGCGAAGUACUAGUUGUCUUGAAUUCUUUAAUAUCAUCAUAGUGACUGGUUCCUGAAACAUGGCCAGCUAAUUAAAAGGUCUUGUUGGAGCACCCCAACAACAUUGUAUAUUUCCUACAACAUAAAUCCUUGGAGGAAACAUUAGUUCAUCGAUCAUCUCUCCAACAAAUGAGUGGGAGAACCUUGCUCUUGAUAUUGUUCUUAUGGGCUGUCCUUACAGUCGUAACCCCUAUCCUUGUCCGAUUGUCUGCUUCUGCCAGAGCAAAUGGCGAAUUUUUCGUCACCAGACACACCAGUGAGACAAACGAGAGGAUGAAGGCCGGAAAAGUGAUGGGGUUGUUGGCAAGGAGGGCGCUUGUUGCAGCAGCACCACGAAAGAAAGACUCAACUCCAUCACUGACACCAGAAAUUGUGCCAUCGCCACCAUCACAGACAAUACUCCACCUGCCUUAAAAUCGCAAUUGUGAAGCUGAAAAGACAUUAUUCUUGACGUGUGCAUGAGAUCGUGAAGUGUGAGGAUUCCAUUUUCUAGUUGCAAGAAUUAGUUGAGUUAUUACUAAGUAAAUUAGACAAACGUAAGACAUGGUUAUACUUGCAUUAAGAGUAGAGUUCAAUUGGCACUAUGAUUUUGUACGGCGUAUAUAUAUAUCUGCAGAAAGGUACACAGCAAAAGUUCCAUUAAUUAAAGUACAUAUGAAAUUGAGAAGUUCUUUUUGUUG
Molecule: long non-coding RNA, 1343 nt
Organism: Nicotiana attenuata
Lineage: Eukaryota; Viridiplantae; Streptophyta; Magnoliopsida; Solanales; Solanaceae
Exons: 2
Source: RefSeq, a predicted model, not a curated record